GAUGAGAAUGCAGCGAAAUGCGAUAAGUAAUGUGAAUUGCAGAAUUCAGUGAAUCAUCGAAUCUUUGAACGCACCUUGCACCCUUUGGCUAUUCCGAAGGGUAUGCCUGUUUGAGUAUCAUGAACACCUCAACUCUCAUGGUUUGCCAUGAUGAGCUUGGACUUUGGGGGUCUUGCUGGCCUGUGGUCAGCUCCUCUCAAAUGGAUUAGCUUGCCAGUGUUUGGUGGCAUCACAGGUGUGAUAACUAUCUACGCUUGUGGUUUUCCACCAGGUAACCUUCAGCAAUGGGGGUUCGCUGGGGCUCAUAAAUGUCUCUCCUCAGUGAGGACAGCUCUUUGAACGUUUGAUCUCAAAUCAGGUAGGACUACCCGCUGAACUUAAGCAUAUCAAUAAGCGGAGGA
This 401-nucleotide unclassified non-coding RNA is filed under the name soil metagenome. RNAcentral's name for it is "partial contains 5.8S ribosomal RNA, internal transcribed spacer 2, and large subunit ribosomal RNA". The stretch from base 5 to 120 matches the Rfam family "5.8S ribosomal RNA", at positions 40 to 154 of the family's 154-position model. The record is from RNAcentral.